AUUGAACGCUGGCGGCAGGCCUAACACAUGCAAGUCGAACGGUAGCACAGAGAGCUUGCUCUCGGGUGACGAGUGGCGGACGGGUGAGUAAUGUCUGGGAAACUGCCCGAUGGAGGGGGAUAACUACUGGAAACGGUAGCUAAUACCGCAUAACGUCGCAAGACCAAAGUGGGGGACCUUCGGGCCUCACACCAUCGGAUGUGCCCAGAUGGGAUUAGCUAGUAGGUGGGGUAAUGGCUCACCUAGGCGACGAUCCCUAGCUGGUCUGAGAGGAUGACCAGCCACACUGGAACUGAGACACUGUCCAGACUCCUACGGGAGGCAGCAGUGGGGAAUAUUGCACAAUGGGCGCAAGCCUGAUGCAGCCAUGCCGCGUGUAUGAAGAAGGCCUUCGGGUUGUAAAGUACUUUCAGCGGGGAGGAAGGCGGUGAAGUUAAUAACUUCACCGAUUGACGUUACCCGCAGAAGAAGCACCGGCUAACUCCGUGCCAGCAGCCGCAGUAG
This 504-nucleotide ribosomal RNA is filed under the name uncultured bacterium. RNAcentral describes it as "partial 16S ribosomal RNA". It matches the Rfam family "Bacterial small subunit ribosomal RNA", at positions 30 to 523 of the family's 1533-position model. The record is from RNAcentral.